This 161-nucleotide ribosomal RNA is filed under the name uncultured bacterium. Its description in RNAcentral is "partial 16S rRNA". It matches the Rfam family "Bacterial small subunit ribosomal RNA", at positions 358 to 511 of the family's 1533-position model. The record is from RNAcentral.
GGAAUCUUCCACAAUGGGCGAAAGCCUGAUGGAGCAACGCCGCGUGUGUGAUGAAGGGUUUCGGCUCGUAAAACACUGUUGUAAGAGAAGAAUGACAUUGAGAGUAACUGUUCAAUGUGUGACGGUAUCUUACCAGAAAGGAACGGCUAAGUACGUGCCAG